UGGGGAAUAUUGCACAAUGGGCGCAAGCCUGAUGCAGCCAUGCCGCGUGUAUGAAGAAGGCCUUCGGGUUGUAAAGUACUUUCAGUCGGGAGGAAGGUGUCAAGGUUAAUAACCUUGGCAAUUGACGUUACCGACAGAAGAAGCACCGGCUAACUCCGUGCCAGCAGCCACGGUAAUACGGAGGGUGCAAGCGUUAAUCGGAAUUACUGGGCGUAAAGCGCACGCAGGCGGUUGAUUGAGUCAGAUGUGAAAUCCCCGGGCUUAACCCGGGAAUUGCAUCUGAUACUGGUCAGCUAGAGUCUUGUAGAGGGGGGUAGAAUUCCAUGUGUAGCGGUGAAAUGCGUAGAGAUGUGGAGGAAUACCGGUGGCGAAGGCGGCCCCCUGGACAAAGACUGACGCUCAGGUGCGAAAGCGUGGGGAGCAAACAGG
Molecule: ribosomal RNA, 429 nt
Filed under: Chloroflexota bacterium
Lineage: Bacteria; Bacillati; Chloroflexota
Description: Chloroflexi bacterium partial 16S ribosomal RNA
Rfam family: Bacterial small subunit ribosomal RNA
Source: RNAcentral